This is a long non-coding RNA of Fundulus heteroclitus (mummichog), 508 nucleotides long. RefSeq lists it as uncharacterized. Lineage: Eukaryota; Metazoa; Chordata; Actinopteri; Cyprinodontiformes; Fundulidae. The transcript has 3 exons. The record is from RefSeq and is a predicted model, not a curated record.
UAUAAUUGUUGGAGGAUUUAUCUGGAGAAGACAUCCAGAGAGCUGCUGUUUAAGACCUGAAACAUCUGGAUCAGCUGUACAUGGAUCUGCUGCCACUUCAGAUGAAGAUAACGCAGAUGAACUGUACAAAAGCCUUCAGCAGCCGACAAGCGAUCUCUACCAAACUCUCUCCUCAGGUCACCAUAAGCAUGAAACUAAAACAAACUCAGCCAGCAACAAAGGAAAUGUUAACCUGGAAAAUAUGGAAGUUAACAGCAAUCAUGAAAUUUAUGAAAACCUUUGAAUCAAAAAUAUUUCAAGCUGAAUGCAGUUGGAUAAACAUUAGGCUGAAUUUGCUUUCGAUGUUUUACUGAGCAAGAUUAACCAGAAGUUAUGUUAUUCAGUAUUUAAUAGUAACAUGUCAUAAUUUUAUUGAAACAUUGGUAAAUGUAUCUGUUUGUCUUGACAGAAUCUGUAACGUUCUUAAAAUACAUCAUGUUAUCCAUUGUAUUAUAAACAGAAGAUUUAA